Molecule: ribosomal RNA, 337 nt
Filed under: uncultured soil bacterium
Lineage: Bacteria
Description: bacterial SSU rRNA
Rfam family: Bacterial small subunit ribosomal RNA
Source: RNAcentral
AGAUUGAACGCUAGCGGGAUGCUUUACACAUACAAGUCGAACGGCAGCGCGGACUUCGGUCUGGCGGCGAGUGGCGAACGGGUGAGUAAUGUAUCGGAACGUGCCUAGUAGCGGGGGAUAACUACGCGAAAGCGUGGCUAAUACCGCAUACGCCCUACGGGGGAAAGGGGGGAUCGCAAGACCUCUCACUAUUAGAGCGCCGAUAUCAGAUUAGCUAGUUGGUGAGGUAAAGCUCACAAGGCCGCGAUCUGUAGCUGGUUUGAGAGGACGACCAGCCACACUGGGACUGAGACACGGCCCAGACUCCUACGGGAGGCAGCAGUGGGGAAUUUUGGAC